This 600-nucleotide ribosomal RNA is filed under the name Triticum aestivum (bread wheat). RNAcentral's name for it is "partial small subunit ribosomal RNA". The record is from RNAcentral. Lineage: Eukaryota; Viridiplantae; Streptophyta; Magnoliopsida; Poales; Poaceae.
AUGUGUAUAUAUAUGUGUAACUGUGUGUAUGAUGAAUAUACGGUGAAUUACACCUUUCAGCUGGCCGCCCUCGACAAAGCGCUAGAGCUCGUCGAGUCCCAGCAGCCGGGCGGCUUCGGCGCGGAGGUCAAGAAGCUGGUGACCAGCGGCACGACGGCCGACAGGUUCCAGAAGGUCGAGGCGAGGAUCACCGCCUGCGUCACCGACGUCGGCUUGGCGGAUCAGUUCGCCGCUCGCUAUCGUGCCCGCCAUCCCAACACAGGGACCGGCUCUGCACCCUCCCUUGCUCCGGAGCAUCACCACCAGAGCUUGCGUCAAGGCCGGAGCUUGCGGCGAGGCCGGAGCUUACGGCUAUCACCAUCGCAGCAGCAGCAGCAACGGAGCUCGCCGUCCACGACACCACCGUUACAGCAGCACCGGAGCUUGCUUCAAGGCCCGAGCUUGCGGCAAGGCCGGAGCUUACGGCUAUCACCAUCGGAGAAGCAGCAACGGAGGCUCCGGUUGGGGGAGUCAUCGUCGCAGCAGCAACAGAACUCGCGGUCCACGACGCCGCCGUUACAGCAGGGCCGAAGCUUGAGGCGGCAACACCCGGACUCUUAG